AUUGAACGCUGGCGGCAUGCUUUACACAUGCAAGUCGAGCGGCAGCGCGGGGGGCAACCUUGGCGGCGAGCGGCGAACGGGUGAGUAAUGCAUCGGAACGUAUCCUGUAGUGGGGAAUAACUCACCGAAAGGUGAGCUAAUACCGCAUAAGCUCUGAGGAGGAAAGCGGGGGACCGAAAGGCCUCGCGCUGCAGGAGCGGCCGAUGUCCGAUUAGCUAGUUGGUGAGGUAAAGGCUCACCAAGGCGACGAUCGGUAGCUGGUCUGAGAGGAUGAUCAGCCACACUGGGACUGAGACACGGCCCAGACUCCUACGGGAGGCAGCAGUGGGGAAUUUUGGACAAUGGGGGAAACCCUGAUCCAGCCAUGCCGCGUGAGUGAAGAAGGCCUCGG
This 391-nucleotide ribosomal RNA is filed under the name uncultured bacterium. RNAcentral's name for it is "bacterial SSU rRNA". It matches the Rfam family "Bacterial small subunit ribosomal RNA", at positions 29 to 420 of the family's 1533-position model. The record is from RNAcentral.